UACUAAGGGGGCUAGCGUUGUUCGGAAUCACUGGGCGUAAAGGGCGCGUAGGCGGCCGAUCAAGUCGGGGGUGAAAGCCUGUGGCUCAACCACAGAAUUGCCUUCGAUACUGUUUGGCUUGAGACCGGAAGAGGUAAGUGGAACUGCGAGUGUAGAGGUGAAAUUCGUAGAUAUUCGCAAGAACACCAGUGGCGAAGGCGGCUUACUGGUCAGGUUCUGACGCUGAGGCGCGAAAGCGUGGGGAGCAAACAGG
Molecule: ribosomal RNA, 253 nt
Filed under: uncultured bacterium
Lineage: Bacteria
Description: partial 16S ribosomal RNA
Rfam family: Bacterial small subunit ribosomal RNA
Source: RNAcentral